RNAcentral lists this ribosomal RNA (425 nucleotides) under uncultured bacterium. Its description in RNAcentral is "partial 16S ribosomal RNA". It matches the Rfam family "Bacterial small subunit ribosomal RNA", at positions 354 to 796 of the family's 1533-position model. The record is from RNAcentral.
GUGGGGAAUAUUGGACAAUGGGCGCAAGCCUGAUCCAGCCAUGCCGCGUGAGUGAUGAAGGCCCUAGGGUUGUAAAGCUCUUUCAGUGGGGACGAUAAUGACGGUACCCACAGAAGAAGCCCCGGCUAACUUCGUGCCAGCAGCCGCGGUAAUACGAAGGGGGCUAGCGUUGUUCGGAUUUACUGGGCGUAAAGCGCACGUAGGCGGAUCGUUAAGUCGGGGGUGAAAUCCUGGAGCUCAACUCCAGAACUGCCUUCGAUACUGGCGAUCUUGAGUCCGGAAGAGGUGAGUGGAACUCCUAGUGUAGAGGUGGAAUUCGUAGAUAUUAGGAAGAACACCAGUGGCGAAGGCGGCUCACUGGUCCGGUACUGACGCUGAGGUGCGAAAGCGUGGGGAGCAAACAGGAUUAGAAACCCGGGUAGUCC